Molecule: long non-coding RNA, 231 nt
Filed under: Theobroma cacao (cacao)
Lineage: Eukaryota; Viridiplantae; Streptophyta; Magnoliopsida; Malvales; Malvaceae
Description: long non-coding RNA (TCAC_LNC001476)
Source: RNAcentral
UUGUUUUUCUAACUUAUGGUCAGAGCUGAGAUGGAGCAAAAAUUGAUUUUGACACAGUUUAAGAAAGUUUGGCUUCUUUCCAUCAAAUUUGAUAGUUUGUUUUGAAGCAUCCAUGUAAGAAUAACUACAAAUCAUAACUUGGGAAGCAGGUGUCCCUUAGCAUGUUUACAUCAAAGUUGACAUUUGAGAGAUCAAAUUAAUGCAGUCCAUGUAAACCUCCACCUAGCUGAG